CUAGUACGCCUGUGUCUAACUAUGUCGAUAGUUGUGGAGAUGCGGUACUGCUUAAUGCUCCACUCAAAAGAACGAGGCCUGUUUUAGGCUUGAGAGACCGGAGUGCCGGGGAUUCAUUCACCCACGUUGGCGAAUACGGCUUGGAGUAUGUAAUAUCAUGGGUCGAUGGCUGUGUUAUUUUGAAAGUUAAAGAUUGUGCUACAGAGUGGCGGAUGAACGUUCACGAGUGGAAUUUUUUCUUGGAGAAUUUAUGCCCCAUGCUAGACGGCGACGAGGGUACAUGGCAUGGGGGACCCCAUGAAUACCGUUGGACCUUUCAGUAUGAUCCGAGGAUUCAACAUCGUUUGGCAUGCGCCUUUCAGUAUGAAUCGAGGAUUCAUCGCAUGGAUGCAAACUAUCAUACGAAGAGACCACAGGAUUUCAUUUUUUUCAGACGCGGUGUUGAUACAGACGAGCUACCACAGUGCUAUGAUAUGCAUUGCAUCGGUAGCUCUCCUCUACGCGCCAGUGUUUUAGAAGCUGCUGAUUAUUUUGAUAAUGUCUUUUUCAUGCAGUGGGCUGAUCUGUCUGCACUACGUGGAAUUUUUGCAGAGAUUGAUUCUUUGGCUAAGACGAAUGAAGAACCAUGGAGCACAACUGAUGAUGAAUGCCGAAUGUGCCUGUUUGAGUCGUCUGGGUUUGAUGAUGGGGUACAUGCACAGGUCAAUGAUGAACAUGUUCAAGGUGGGGGUGUGGCUAUGGAGACUGCUGAUUUAAAGGCUGUGCAACCCGGACCCCACUGGCUUCAAGAGUAUGCCGUCUAUCUGACCGGAUUGAAUC
Molecule: long non-coding RNA, 819 nt
Organism: Gadus morhua (Atlantic cod)
Lineage: Eukaryota; Metazoa; Chordata; Actinopteri; Gadiformes; Gadidae
Source: Ensembl